UACGGAGGAUCCAAGCGUUAUCCGGAAUCAUUGGGUUUAAAGGGUCCGUAGGCGGUUUAAUAAGUCAGUGGUGAAAGCCCAUCGCUCAACGGUGGAACGGCCAUUGAUACUGCUGGACUUGAAUUAUUGGGAAGCAACUAGAAUAUGUAGUGUAGCGGUGAAAUGCUUAGAGAUUACAUGGAAUACCAAUUGCGAAGGCAGGUUGCUACCAAUUGAUUGACGCUGAUGGACGAAAGCGUGGGUAGCGAACAGG
Molecule: ribosomal RNA, 253 nt
Filed under: uncultured bacterium
Lineage: Bacteria
Description: partial 16S ribosomal RNA
Rfam family: Bacterial small subunit ribosomal RNA
Source: RNAcentral